UACGAAGGGGGCUAGCGUUGUUCGGAAUCACUGGGCGUAAAGCGCUCGUAGGCGGAUCUUUAAGUCAGGGGUGAAAUCCCGAGGCUCAACCUCGGAACUGCCUUUGAUACUGGGGAUCUCGAGUCCGGCAGAGGUGUGUGGAACUCCGAGUGUAGAGGUGAAAUUCGUAGAUAUUCGGAAGAACACCAGUGGCGAAGGCGACACACUGGGCCAUUACUGACGCUGAGGCGCGAAAGCGUGGGGAGCAAACAGG
RNAcentral lists this ribosomal RNA (253 nucleotides) under uncultured bacterium. RNAcentral's name for it is "partial 16S ribosomal RNA". It matches the Rfam family "Bacterial small subunit ribosomal RNA", at positions 524 to 776 of the family's 1533-position model. The record is from RNAcentral.